GUCAGGAUGGCCGAGAGGACUAAGGCGCUGCGUUUAGGUCGCAGUCCACUUGUGUGGGCGUGGGUGCGAAGAUCCCACUUCUGACA
Non-coding RNA from Trichonephila clavipes, 86 nucleotides. Lineage: Eukaryota; Metazoa; Arthropoda; Arachnida; Araneae; Nephilidae. The record is from the annotation of a GenBank genome assembly.